Drosophila miranda is the source of this 2480-nucleotide long non-coding RNA. RefSeq lists it as uncharacterized. The record is from RefSeq and is a predicted model, not a curated record. NCBI's taxonomy places the organism in Eukaryota, Metazoa, Arthropoda, Insecta, Diptera, Drosophilidae. The transcript is spliced from 6 exons.
UUUAACGGCCGCGGAAAAGGAAACAACGGAAAUUGGUGUCGCCGCAGACAGUUUACGCCGUUAAAGUUAAACGUUCAGUACUUACCCUACUCUUUGAUUCGGCAAAGACGUUAUAUUAGAGUAGUGUUCCAAAUCAGACAAGUGCGGAGCAAGCGAAAACUUCCGAGAAUCUUUUGCUUCAGAAAGCUCGGCGAAAAGAGCGAUCAGCUAGCGGAAGCAAAACACAAAUCGUUGCCGAGCUUGCAGUUUUCCAUUUUGAAUUACCCAUUUUCAGGUACGUUUUCUUGUUCACUUCUGUUCUGGCCACGAAAUAUUUUUGUGUUGUAUUCGGUUCAUUCGGUUUUAUCAUUUUUUUGAGUUGCAUUUGCCACAAGUGUUGAAGACAGGCCAACGAGCUGAUAAAACAAGAUGUGAAAGUAGAGCCACUAUUAGCCAUUAGCCACUAGCCACUAGGCAAAAACCAUCGACAAUUUUCGCGUGGUCGCAGCCAGUCUGUGAGCCGCCACAGAGCGGGGCUAAUCAUCGCUAAACAAACGCUGAAAAGCAACCCUCGUACAAAUUCAAACGCAGAGAAAUGCCGACGAUCCGCGCACUUCCUGUGGCAUCAGCGGAAGCGCGUACACCACCGAACCAAUUAGCGGCAACAAUGUCAAAGACGUCAGCAGCAUCCGAAUCGUCCGCAACGGCAGUGGCAUCGACAUCGACGACAACUACUAGCCACAAAAGUAGAUCAAUUCUAAGUUUAUUUAUAGUAAUCGCAUGGAACUCUCUGCAAGAAUUGGCCAGUGACGGGAAUGACGAUGGCUGUGUCAGGGCUGCUGGCGACCAUGGCCGUGACGUCAAUGCGGACCGAGUGAGACAUAGACGCACGCCCGGUACUCGCGAUCCAAGUGACGAGGUGUCAAUGGCACGUGAACACCAUAAGCAGCAAGGCAAACAGAAACCCCUAUCUGGUUCUAGUCCACAUCGGAGGAGGACCCGCCUGCGAGCCACUUCUCAAGCGGUGUCGAUGGCUCUGUUUGCUUUCGGAUUGCUGCUACUUAAUAUGCGGCCGGCGGCGGAGCUGUUGUUUGUAUCGCAUUCACUGCUUGGCAUGCCGGGUCGAUCAAAACAAAACAAACAGAUCAAAAAAAGACCGGCCCGCGAAUUCCCCCUCCAGCAUGCUGCGGUAUUUGGGAUCGUUGGAACGACUUCUGCCUCAAGUUAGUAAGCGGCAGGAACACUCCCUACGGAUUCCAUUUGCCGGCACCUGCUGGCAGACCCACCUGGGCAGCGGCAAGUGCAGCCAGAUACCGAUCUCCUACCGAUCGCGAGCUGAGCAGCGUGGAGUACUUCUUUGCGACGGCCAUCGGAGGCGGCGUCGAGUGCGCUCCGUGCAUUGCGCACGAACACAAAUAGAAAUAUUGGCAAUUGAUCCUCCACAAAUGAUGCCUUUGGCGAAAUCUUAGACGAAAUUAACUGGGUCUCACACCGGGCAUCUUCUGUACAGGCGUUGAUUUGAAGGAGCGUACAGGCAUUUGAGUUUGAGUUCACUAGCAUUGAACAAUUUCCGAUGCCCGUAAUCGCCGCAUUGGAUGGCGCUGCUUUGGGUGGUGGUCGGGAAAUGGCCUUGGCAUGCGAUAUACGCACGGCAGCUUCAAAGGCUCGCCGGGGAAAUCCUGCAAAACGAUCCAGCGGGAGUGCGAAUGGCCAAACUGGCCAUUGAAAAAGGAACAGCACAGAUAUUCUUGCCGUACAGCGGGAGCGGAACAACAUUAGAUGUCGACCAACCAGUCGAUAGCAAUGACAAUGCCAUCCGGCCCAACGAGACCCGGAGCCACGAUCCUUUGCACAUAGGAGCCAUUGAGAAAGUCACGAUCGAGAUGCGGCCAAUGUGCUCCUGGCGGGAGAACAGCAGGAAGGCAGCCGGAACCACAAAGAUUCGCUUGAAAUUACCUCCUAAAUAUAGGCCGUUUGUACUUGUUGGUCAUGGGAGGUUUUAUAAAGCUGUUAAACUUUUGUUUAACGAUGAAAUGGCAGCGCUCUUUUAUUUGGUUGUUCCGCAUUGCAUUCAACCCGUCAAAAAUGUUGUAAAAAUAUUACUUUUGUUUUUUGGGCAUGGGCGAGGUGCGCACUCGGGAUAUUUCGGCUGAGGCUCGUCUUUCGUCAUUAUUACUUCUAAAUGAUUUGCGUGGUAGGGAGAAGCUAGAAUUCCGGGAUAGAGAAUACCACUUAACAUUGAUUUCAUUAUCCCCAAAAAAAACAAGAGAAGAACUCAAUCCGUUUGCCUCUGCUGGUUCUGUUAGUCUGCCUCGAUCUCAGGCCGUACUUGUCCUACCUACCAUUGGCCAGUCUGCCCCCAGGCAGAAUCCAAAUGCCCCUGUUCUACGGCAUGGGGUUAGCCGAUGUCAAACUCUACGCUGUUUAGAACAUUAUAAAAUACAUUUAUUCACUAAAAGAAAAUUUUACCAUUUCCCAUGGGUUAUAAACGUACAGAAACA